Non-coding RNA from Manis javanica (Malayan pangolin), 2976 nucleotides. Lineage: Eukaryota; Metazoa; Chordata; Mammalia; Pholidota; Manidae. The record is from RefSeq and is a predicted model, not a curated record.
AGAGUGGCACCAUUCUAGGCCAUCACACUGGGCAUGCAGCCUGUGACACAAGGUAGCAACCUGGUAUACCUGCUGGUGUGUACUCAUGAAUUAACAUCAUCUACUAGAAAGAACUCAGAUUAUUCAGGCAGAACUUGGGUUCCAAUGCUAGCUCCACCACUUACCACUUAUGUGGCUAUAUCACUCAUCAUCAAACUUCAGCUGUCUCAUCUGUGAAUGAAGGCUAAGAACUCCAGAGGACCGCUCCAAGAACCACAUCUAAUAACCUAUGAAAAUCAACAAAGACAGAGGCAGCUCCUUUCCUCCUCACUACAGCCAGAAAGAUCAGAAAUAAGACAAGGAGAUUUGUUUGCUCUCAGCAUUCCUAUUCAUUAUUGUACCAGAAGUUCUAGGAAGUGCAAUAAGGCAUGAAAAAGAAAUGAAAAGCAUCCAGAUUGGGAAGAAUUAAAAUACUUUAUUUGCAGUCAACAUUGAUAGAAAGAAUGUCCAAUGGAAUCUGCAAAAAUCUAUUAGAAUAUGUGAAUGAGCAAAGCAAGAUCUCAAAAUCUAAGGCCCUUCAGCCAGUCCUCUCUGCUUCCUGUUUCCCUGCGACAGGAGUCAGCAAACUAUGAUCCAUCUGCCAAAUCCAGCUCAUCACUUGGUUUUAUACAGCCGAAAAACUAAGAACAGCUUUUGCAUUUCAACAUGGCUGGGAGGAAAAAUUCAAAGAAAUUAUUUCAUGACAUCAAAAACAAAAUUUCAAAUUUCAACGUCCACAAAGAAAGUUUUACUCAAACACAGAUAUACUCAUUCAAUUCACAUUUAUCUGUGCCUACUUUUGCACUACAAUGACAGAGUUGAUUGGCUCCAACAGAGACCAUAUGGCCUUCAAAAUCUAAAAUAUUUAUUAUCUGGACCUUCACAGAAAAGGCUGCCGACCUGUACUCAGUGAUACGCCUUCCGCCUCUCAGCUUCCUGAGAUCCUCACGUCAGGCAUGCUCACUACCGCCUCUCCUUUAUUCAAGCCCCACCUACUCCCAAAAACCCAAUUCCAUUUCUCCCCCUUUUCCCAAUCCUAACCAUUAUCAGCAGCUUAUGUGGAAGUAGCUAAGCAAAACAUUACAUGUCAUCACACAGAUUGCGGUCUUGGGUUCCUGAUAGGGUGGCUGAUGACACAUUUCCAAUUUUUCAGAGCAAACUGGCAGACUAGGAGCUAAGAAGCAGUGCACAUCAUGUAGGGUACUGAGAAAAUUGUUCCCAUAAGCUAUGUGAGAAACGUCAGACCCCUGCCUGCAAUGUCAUCAUUUAAAUAUGUGCCAGUACAGGUGAAAGAAGAAUGCCUCUCCAGAAACCAACGCAAGACAACAGAAUUCCAAAAAGAAAUUAGGAAGAAAAAGCUGAAGAGGGGCAGAUGGCAAAAAUAAAAAAACCCGUGACUCCAACAAUUUAGAGACUCUCACAAACUGUAGUUAAUGGAAAACCGUGGAGACGCUAGUACGUAAAGGGGCAGUUACUCCUUUCCUAGAAGGCCAAAGCAGCUUGUGAAGAAGGACAGAGCAGGGCUUCAACCGCAACACCUCAGCCCAUCAGGUGUCCUGACUUCCUUAAGCUGGCACACUAAGCAAGGUGACACGCCUGCUGGCCUAAAACCCAUGGACCACUACCAUCCUUGCAGGCCAUUUUUUAACAAAUAAUGAAUAAGAGACCUGAUAUGUAUCUCUGUGACUAAAGUCCCAGAUAGGAAACCCUGACCUUUGGAAGACACGAUGUUUCAUGCCGAAUUUUUUUCAGCUUUACUCAGGUAUAAUUGGCAAGUAGAACUGCCAGAUGGAAGUGGACACUGUGAUCGAUAUUUGCACACAUGUAUAAUGAAAGGACUCCCAUUUAGUUACUUAACACAUCUAACACCUCACAUGAUCAUCCUUCUUUUUCUUUUCUGUCUCUUCCUUUUUUUGUUGGGGAGGGUGAAUCAUCUCCAAUUUAAAAUGGCGACCCAGAGAAAGCAGAAUUUUGGAAGGGUGCAGGUGUUGUUGAAGACAAGUUGGUAUUGUCCACAAGUUCCCAGUAAAAGGAAAACUCUCCGAAGAAUAGACUCUGGAAAACCUGCUUCUGUGAAGCAACACGGGAGUUUCUGGCUAAGCAUAAGCUUACUGUGUCCCCACAGAAAGGCAAGGCUCCUCCAGGGUAGUAAUACAGUCCAGGGCCAAAAUACAUCGUUUUGCUUUACAGUGCCUGGAUCCAGGAAGACAGGAGUCCUAGUUAGAUUCUGUGCUCUUUCUAGAUUCUGAGGACCCGCAGGGUACUGUGUGCAGUUCCAGAACAAGACUACAAGGAAAGAGUCUAAUAACCAGCCUGGCUCCAGUCCAGAAACAACUCUGGAAAGACUUUCAACUUGGUAAGCUGUUUGAAAAAAGAGCUUUUUUUUUUUUUUCCAGAAUUAAAAAAGGCAGAAUAGAACUAGUGAGUUGAAAGUUAUUGAGACAGAUUCUGGGGCAUCUAAUAAUCAAAGGUGCCCCUACAGCAAUUGAGCUGCCUGAAAAGUAGUUGGGUCUUGUGCCUCACUCACCGAAAGCAUUCUAGUGGGGCUAAAAAGACUGCUGCAACCAACCCCUGACAUCAGGUGAACUGCCAGGUUCUUGCACUCACCUUAGCUACAUAUCCAGACAGUCACCACAGUUCACCUCUAAAGGAUUCAGACAACAGUGAUAGAACUUCAGUUAUUUUAAAAAGCAUCAUAUUGUACUUCUGCAGGAAUUCUCCUAGCUUACUCUCAUUUGCCUGUUUCUUGAGGCAGCCUUUCUCAGGCCAACUAUCCCCCAUCACCUGACAUCUCCCAAGCUCACUUCUGACACAGCAUGGCCCAGUGGUUCAUCACUGAACAAACACCUAAACGCUAGACUGACAAUGAAUUAAAAAAAAAAAAAGUAGACAAAAAUAAAGAAAUCAAUAUAACUGCUAUUCAAAAAUUUAUCAUCUGUUUGAGAGGUAACAGGUCUU